RNAcentral lists this ribosomal RNA (301 nucleotides) under uncultured bacterium. Its description in RNAcentral is "partial 16S ribosomal RNA". It matches the Rfam family "Bacterial small subunit ribosomal RNA", at positions 509 to 807 of the family's 1533-position model. The record is from RNAcentral.
CAGUAGCCGCGGUAAAACGAAGGGUGCAAGCGUUAAUCGGAAUUACUGGGCGUAAAGCGUGCGUAGGUGGUGGUUUAAGUCCGUUGUGAAAGCCCUGGGCUCAACCUGGGAAUUGCAGUGGAUACUGGGUCACUAGAGUGUGGUAGAGGAUAGUGGAAUUUCCGGUGUAGCAGUGAAAUGCGUAGAGAUCGGGAGGAACAUCAGUGGCGAAGGCGGCCAUCUGGGACAACACUGACGCUGAGGCACGAAAGCGUGGGGAGCAAACAGGAUUAGAGACCCCGGUAGUCCCUGUCUCUUAUAC